RNAcentral lists this ribosomal RNA (2632 nucleotides) under Mycobacterium sp. URHB0044. RNAcentral describes it as "bacterial LSU rRNA". It matches the Rfam family "Bacterial large subunit ribosomal RNA", at positions 1 to 2430 of the family's 2925-position model. Lineage: Bacteria; Bacillati; Actinomycetota; Actinomycetes; Mycobacteriales; Mycobacteriaceae. The record is from RNAcentral.
GUAAGUGUUUAAGGGCGCAUGGUGGAUGCCUUGGCAUCAGAGGCCGAUGAAGGACGUGGGAGGCUGCGAUAUGCCUCGGGGAGCUGCCAACCGAGCGUGGAUCCGAGGAUGUCCGAAUGGGGAAACCCAGCACGAGUGAUGUCGUGUUACCCGUAUCUGAAUCUAUAGGGUGCGGGGGGUAACGCGGGGAAGUGAAACAUCUCAGUACCCGUAGGAAGAGAAAACAAUUGUGAUUCCGUGAGUAGUGGCGAGCGAAAGCGGAGGAUGGCUAAACCGUAUGCAUGUGAUACCGGGUAGGGGUUGUGUGUGCGGGGUUGUGGGACCUGAGUUUCUGGGGCUACCUCUCCAGAGGGCAGUGAGAAAGUGACGUGGUUAGCGGAAGUGGUCUGGGAUGGCCUGCCGUAGACGGUGAGAGCCCGGUACGUGAAAACCCGUUGCCUGCCUUGUUCAGUGUUCCCGAGUAGCAGCGGGCCCGUGGAAUCUGCUGUGAAUCUGCCGGGACCACCCGGUAAGCCUGAAUACCUUCUGAUGACCGAUAGCGGAUUAGUACCGUGAGGGAAUGGUGAAAAGUACCCCGGGAGGGGAGUGAAAGAGUACCUGAAACCGUGUGCCUACAAUCCGUCAGAGCCCUCCUUCGUGGUGGGGUGAUGGCGUGCCUUUUGAAGAAUGAGCCUGCGAGUCAGGGACAUGUCGCGAGGUUAACCCGUGUGGGGUAGCCGCAGCGAAAGCGAGUCUGAAUAGGGCGUAUCCGAUCCGUGGGGAUUGGUGUAGUGGUGUGUUCUGGACCCGAAGCGGAGUGAUCUACCCAUGGCCAGGGUGAAGCAGCAGUAAGAUGUUGUGGAGGCCCGAACCCACUUAGGUUGAAGACUGAGGGGAUGAGCUGUGGGUAGGGGUGAAAGGCCAAUCAAACUCCGUGAUAGCUGGUUCUCCCCGAAAUGCAUUUAGGUGCAGCGUUGCGUGUUUCUUACCGGAGGUAGAGCUACUGGAUGGCCGAUGGGCCUCACAAGGUUACUGACGUCAGCCAAACUCCGAAUGCCGGUAAGUGAAAGCGUGGCAGUGAGACGGCGGGGGAUAAGCUCCGUGCGUCGAGAGGGAAACAGCCCAGAUCGCCGGCUAAGGCCCCUAAGCGUGUGCUAAGUGGAAAAGGAUGUGCAGUCGCGAAGACAACCAGGAGGUUGGCUUAGAAGCAGCCACCCUUGAAAGAGUGCGUAAUAGCUCACUGGUCAAGUGAUUGUGCGCCGAUAAUGUAGCGGGGCUCAAGCACACCGCCGAAGCCGCGGCAAUCAGAAUUCUGUUCUGGUUGGGUAGGGGAGCGUCCUGCAUCCAGUGAAGCCGCCGAGUGAUCGAGUGGUGGAGGGUGUGGGAGUGAGAAUGCAGGCAUGAGUAGCGAUAAGGCAAGUGAGAACCUUGCCCGCCGAAAGACCAAGGGUUCCUGGGGCAGGCCAGUCCGCCCAGGGUGAGUCGGGACCUAAGGCGAGGCCGACAGGCGUAGUCGAUGGACAACGGGUUGAUAUUCCCGUACCCGUGUGUGCGCGCCCGUGACGAAUCCAUUCUGCUAACCGUCCAAAACCUGCAUCACCAAUCACCUUCGGGUGUGCGGGGUGUGGGGGCUGCACGGGACCCGGAUGGGUAGUAGUCAAGCGAUGGGGUGACGCAGGAAGGUAGCCGUACCAGUCAGUGGUAAUACUGGGGCAAGCCCGUAGGGAGAGACCUAGGUAAAUCCGGGUCUCACAUAAUCCUGAGAGGUGAUGCAUAGCCGAGUGAGGCGAAUUCGGUGAUCCUAUGCUGCCAAGAAAAGCCUCUAGCGAGUGCUCACACGGCCCGUACCCCAAACCGACACAGGUGGUCAGGUAGAGAAUACCAAGGCGUACGAGUGAACUAUGGUUAAGGAACUCGGCAAAAUACCCCCGUAACUUCGGGAGAAGGGGGACCCCUUACCGUCAACACCCUUGCGGUGGGUAGCGGUGGGGGGUCGCAGAAACCAGUGAGAAGCGACUGUUUACUAAAAACACAGGUCCGUGCGAAGUCGCAAGACGAUGUAUACGGACUGACGCCUGCCCGGUGCUGGAAGGUUAAGAGGACCGGUCAACCACUUCGGUGGUGAAGCUGAGAAUUUAAGCCCCAGUAAACGGCGGUGGUAACUAUAACCAUCCUAAGGUAGCGAAAUUCCUUGUCGGGUAAGUUCCGACCUGCACGAAUGGCGUAACGACUUCUCAACUGUCUCAACCAUAGACUCGGCGAAAUUGCACUACGAGUAAAGAUGCUCGUUACGCGCGGCAGGACGAAAAGACCCCGGGACCUUCACUACAACUUGGUAUUGGAGUUCGAUACGGUUUGUGUAGGAUAGGUGGGAGACUGUGAAGCUCACACGCCAGUGUGGGUGGAGUCAUUGUUGAAAUACCACUCUGAUCGUAUUGGGCUUCUAACCUCGAACCGUAUAUCCGGUUCAGGAACAGUGCCUGGUGGGUAGUUUAACUGGGGCGGUUGCCUCCUAAAGAGUAACGGAGGCGCCCAAAGGUUCCCUCAACCUGGACGGCAAUCAGGUGUUGAGUGUAAGUGCACAAGGGAGCUUGACUGCGAGACGUACAUGUCGAGCAGGGACGAAAGUCGGGACUAGUGAUCCGGCACCCCC